GUGCUUGCUUUGGCAGCACAUAUACUAAAAUUGGAAUGAUACAGAGAAGAUCAGCACUGCCCUGCUCAAGGAUGACAUGCAAAUUUGUGAAGAGUUCCACAUUUUU
Molecule: small nuclear RNA, 106 nt
Filed under: Bos grunniens (domestic yak)
Lineage: Eukaryota; Metazoa; Chordata; Mammalia; Artiodactyla; Bovidae
Source: RNAcentral